Molecule: transfer RNA, 76 nt
Filed under: Candidatus Bathyarchaeota archaeon
Lineage: Archaea; Thermoproteati; Candidatus Bathyarchaeota
Also listed under: 1 other name
Description: tRNA-Gln
Rfam family: tRNA
About the family: Transfer RNA (tRNA) molecules are approximately 80 nucleotides in length.
Source: RNAcentral
AGCCCGGUCGUCUAGUGGACAAGGAUGGAGGGCUUUGGACCCUUAGACCUGAGUUCGAAUCUCAGCCGGGCUACCA